This 775-nucleotide ribosomal RNA is filed under the name uncultured Neocallimastigales. RNAcentral describes it as "partial large subunit ribosomal RNA". It matches the Rfam family "Eukaryotic large subunit ribosomal RNA", at positions 23 to 647 of the family's 3401-position model. Lineage: Eukaryota; Fungi; Neocallimastigomycota; Neocallimastigomycetes; Neocallimastigales. The record is from RNAcentral.
AGAGAGAGACAUGCGCGCAUAUCAAUAAGCGGAGGAAAAGAAACUAACAAGGAUUCCCCUAGUAACGGCGAGUGAAGCGGGAAGAGCUCAAAUUUGAAAUCUUAAAGGGUUUCCCUUUACGAAUUGUAGUUUAAAGAAGUGUUUUCUGUUGAGGUUUUGGUAAAAGUUCUUUGGAAUAGGACAUCAUAGAGGGUGAGAAUCCCGUAUUUGACCUUUACUUUCAACUUUGUGAUACACUUUCAAAGAGUCGGAUUGUUUGGGAAUGCAGUCCAAAAUGGGUGGUAAAUUUCAUCUAAAGCUAAAUAUUGGCGAGAGACCGAUAGCGAACAAGUACCGUGAGGGAAAGAUAAAAAGAACUUUGAAAAGAGAGUUAAACAGUACGUGAAAUUGUCAAAAGGGAAGCGUUUGACACCAGUGUUGUUUUUCUGAAAAUCAAUUAAAGAACUGUUUAUGCUAAGUUGUUUAGACUUUAUCAGCUAACUGUUUAGUUUUGAGCUUUUCUUUAAUGCACUUUUCAGUUAACAAGUCAACAUCAAUUUCUUUUGCUGUAAAAAAGCUUGAGGAAGGUGGCUUGAGAUUCGUCUUAAGUGUUUAUAGCCUCUUGCCUAUGCAGUCGGAGAGAUUGAGGUCUGCAGCGUAGAUCCUUCGGGGCUAAAUGCAUUUGUGCUAAGUUAUAGCAUUUUAUAGACAACUUGUUGACUUAUGAUUUGUCUUGUAGCUUACUCGCUUAUGUUAUUUUACCUACGCUUAGGAUGUUGACGCAUGAGAUAUACGC